This 3255-nucleotide long non-coding RNA is filed under the name Brassica rapa (field mustard). RNAcentral describes it as "long non-coding RNA (BRAP_LNC002591)". Lineage: Eukaryota; Viridiplantae; Streptophyta; Magnoliopsida; Brassicales; Brassicaceae. The record is from RNAcentral.
UGAGGCUAAGAUGGUCAGGAUGUGGCGAGGUCGGCUUUUACGGUGGUUUGAUUCAGAUUGACGUUUUUCCCCUUUGUUCGAUCUGGAUCUAGCCGGAGCUUGCUGGCGCGUGCUUCACUGAUUCGGCUCUCCUGACACAGAUCUGUUCGGUUCUUUGUCUGUGUGGUGCGGUGGUGGCGGCUCUGUCUCCUCCGCCUUGGCGUCUUGGUGCAGGAGGAGUCUUUCUACUCCGCUCAGCUCGGACUUCGACGGUAGUUUACCUUCAAGGCGUGCGUCGGUCUCGCUUCCUCCGGCGGUGUCGUUUGAAGUAUCCGACGGUGCGUGUAAAGUAGCAAGCUUGGUGGCGCGUGGAGUUGUCUGCGCUUUGGCGUCACUUCUUGGUACUUUGCUCCGGUCUUCGCCUUUCAGUUCAUUGCCUUGUCUGGUGGUUUCUCUUCUAGGUGAAGAGUUCUUGGGUAUUGUUCUUCAUGGUUAGUGUGGCCAACGUCGCACCGUUGGCUACGGUUUUGAGUGAAGAACCUCCCUCUUGUUCUAAGAGGUGGAGUGCGUGGACAUUAGUGGUGCUUCGUGAGUUUUCGGAGUCUUCCUCUCUGUCCGUGGCGAUGCACUUGGAGUGUUGUCCUUCCCAGUAUCGGAGUCUGUCCUUGCAAGCUUCGGUAGGAUGCCUUCUUUCUUCUUACUGCAGGUACCGCUUCGACGAGACAAGGCAGCUACAGUUCAACCGGUCUUGUUAGGUGUUGAGUGCUCAUGCCAUGGCGUCCAGUACGGUUGGUUCAGCUAUGAACUCUCGGGUCUAUUCACUCAACUAUACGCUUAAUUCAGCAGAGAUUGCGAGCGUGAGGAGAUCAUCAAGAUCCAGCUACUCUGUUGAUGGCAUAAGAUGAACCGGCAACCAAGGAAACUUGGUGAACGCUACCCUCGAAUGCUUUCUAUCAACGGUUGAGAACGGGGAUUGAUAGUCUAAGGAUAACUGAACUAUUUAGCGGAUUGCGCCGGUUUAGAGGUGGUCGAGCGAAGCUAAAGAUGUUUAGUUAGAUGUAGAUUUUUGUUCAAAUCAUGUUUGUAAUCAAAGUUUGAAUUGUCCGUAUUAGGUUUUGAUGUUUAGUUUAAUUUCCGUAAUCCGCUACUAGUUGUCUUUGUAAUUUCUGUCACAAACUUGAAAACUUGGUAUAAUAUUUAACACUUUACCAAAAAAAAAAAAAAAACCCUACCUAACCCUAAACCCUACUAACCCUAAACCCUACCUAAUUCUAAACCUAUCUAACCCUAAACCCUAUCUAACCCUAAACCUUUUUUAGCCCUAAACCCUACCUAACCCUAAACCCUACUAACCCUAAACUCUACCUAACCCUAAACCCUACCUAUUUCUAAACCCUAUCUAACCCUAAACCCUAUCUAGCCCUAAACCCUACCUACCCUAAACCCUACCUAGCUCUAAACCCUACUAACCCUAAACCCUACCUAACCCUAAACCCUACCUAACCCUAAACCCUAACUAACCCUAAACUACUUCUAACCCUAAACUUGACAUAACCCUAAACCCUGCCUAACCCUAAACCCUAUAAUCCAAAGCAUUAUUCUAAACCAAACUCUAAACUCUACUUACCCUAAACCCUACCUAACCCUAAACCCUACCUAAUUCUAAACCUAUCUAACCUUAAACCCUACCUAACCCUAAACACUACUAACCCUAAACCCUACCUAAUUCUAAACCUAUCUAACCCUAAACCCUACCUAACCCAAAACCCUUUCUAGCCCUAAACCCUACCUAACCCUAAACCCUACUAACCCUAAACCCUACCUAACCCUAAACCCUACCUAACCCUACUAACCCUACUAACCCUAAACCCAACUAACCCUAAACCCGACCUAACCCUACCUAACCCUACUAACCCUAUCUAACCCUAAACCCUACCUAGCCCUAAACCCUACUAACCCUAAACCCUAUCUAACCCUAAACCCUACCUAACCCUAAACCCUACCUAACCCUAAACCCUUCUAACCCUAAACCUGACAUAACCCUAAACCCUGCCUAAACCUAAACCCUGCCUAACCCUAAACCCUACUUAACCCUAAACCCUUUCUAACCCUAAACCCUGCUAACCCUAAACCCUACCUAAUUCUAAACCCUACCUAACCCUAACCCUAAACCCUUCCUAACCCUAAACCCUGCCUAAUUCUAAACCCUAAACCCUAAACCCUAAACCCUAAACCCUAAACCUAAACCUAACCCUAAACCCUACCUAACCCUAAACCCCUUCUAACCCUAAACCUGACAUAACCCUAAACCCUGCCUAACCCUAAACCUGACCUAACCCUAAACCCUGUCUAACCCUAAAUCCUACGUAACCCUAAACCCUUUCUAACUCUAAACCCUGCUAACCCUAAACCCUACCUAAUUCUAAACCCUACCUAACCCUAACCCUAAACCCUUCCUAACCCUAAACCCUGCCUAUUUCUAAACCCAACAUAACCCUAAAACCUAAACCCUAAACCCUACCUAGCCUAAACCCUACCUAACCUUAGAACCUUUCUAACCCUAAACCCUACUAACCCUAAACCCUAUUAACCUUAAACCCUACCUAACCCUAAACCCUACUAACUCUAAACCAUACCUAAUUUUAAACCCUACCUAACCCUAACCCCUUCCUAACCCUAAACCCUACCUACCCUAAACCCUACCUAACCCUAGACCCUAUAUAUCCCUAAACCCUACUAACCCUAAACCCUACCUAACCUUAAACCCUACCUAACCCUAAACUCUACCUAACCCUAAACCCUACCUACCCUAAACCCUAUUUAACCCUAAACCCUACCUAACCCUAAACCCUUUCUAAACCUAAACCCUUCCUAACCCUAAACCCUGCCUAACCCUAAAACCCUACCUAACCCUAAACCCUUUCUAACCCUAAACCCCGCUAACCCUAAACCCUUCCUAAGCCUAACCUUAAAACCCUACCUAAACCUAACCCUAAACUCUACCUAACCCUAAACUCUACCUACCCUAAACCCUACUUAACCCUAAACCCUAAAUCCAACCCUAAAACCCCUACAUAACCCUAAACCCUUUCUAACCCUAAACCCUAAACCCUACCUAACCCUAAACCCUGUUAACCCUAAACCCUUCCUAAACCUAACCCUAAAACCCUACCUAAACCUAACCAUAAAUCCUAUCUAACCCUAAAACUCUACCAACCCUAAACACUAAAAAAUAAUCUCAAAACUUAAAGCUAAAAAAACCUAAACUCUUACCGC